This is a non-coding RNA of Trichonephila inaurata madagascariensis, 65 nucleotides long. The record is from the annotation of a GenBank genome assembly. NCBI's taxonomy places the organism in Eukaryota, Metazoa, Arthropoda, Arachnida, Araneae, Nephilidae.
GUCCCUGUAGCGCAAUGGAUAGCGCGUUGGAUUUCUAAUCCAUAGGGUGAAUCCUACUUGGGAUG